CGAGGAUCAUAUAUAUAUGGCUCUAGCUAGUAGUACUUUAGAUCCAUUUAAUUGUUGUAGUCAAGCCAAACAAAGCUUAUCGGAAUAUUGAUCCUAUGCCAACAUGCAUUGGACAGAUGCAUGUGUGAAGUAUGAAUAGGUUUUCCCUGGCCGGCUCUUUCUUGGGCAACCCAUAAUAUUGUUAGAGGUCUCUUCAACGUUUGUCCACGUGGCAGAUCAUUAAGGGAUGGUCAACGUCCAAUGUGGAGAAAUGCCGGUAGGUGCACCUCUACCCCCAUGCCAGAUUAGUCAGAGCUGCCAGCUCCUUCAAUUUGAAUUCCCAAUUUUGUUGAGUUCAAAUGCUUGAGAAGUACCUAAAACGGUGGGUUCUAAGGUCUAAACUUUAGUUCUACUCUGAGCAUUUGAAUCUUCUUUACUGAGAUUCCUUGAACCUGCACGUAUCAACAAACGUCGAAGUCUUCGGUCAAUGUGCAAAAAAAACUCAAUCAUUGAUCGACACGUCGUCACGAGAAAGGGUGACUUGUGGGCACACAAUUGGCUGCAUUGGUCGUUGUGAAACAAAAGGGGGCAAGAACCGGCCACCGAGGAUUUUGUCAGAUAGUACCAAGCUGAGUGGAACAGAUUAAUGGGAAAUUAUCACAAUACAGAGUAGCAUGAGAUGUAUCCACUCCCAGUUGGCAUUAUCUAUAAUUUGUUGGGUUUUCUUUUGAGUAGUUAGGUGUCUUCUUGAUGCACACGUUAUUUUCUCCUUUACAGUUUUGGUGGUGGAGGGUGACUGGAGAGGGUGACUUUCAUUUGCCGUUCUGGCAUCUGUCCUUUGUAGCCUGUCAGUUUGGGACCUUGAAAGGACAUCAACGAAACGAGGUCAUUUACUUGGGCCAUUGAUCCAUAUAUAUAUAUAUAUAUAUGAGGAAGUUGUAAACAAGCAUCAAAGAUGCCUAAAGUGAUCAGCAAGUUUGUAUGGAUGAAUACCAAGCUUAGGAAUUCUGGAUUAUAUACCAUAUUAGACUUUUCAGGAUUCCAAGCACAGGGAACAACAAUUUUUGUAGGAUUGGCCCGUAUUUGAUUGUCCUCAUCCACAUGAAUCACAAGCACAAAAAGAAUAAAAUACAUCAAAUUUUACCUUAUUUUUAACUACUGGUAAUUUAUCUUCAACAUUCAAUACGGUGUAAACAACCAUUAAGGACGCUUAACCCCAUGUAUCCUUCUAAUUAAUCACCGUUGUUGCAGUUCUCAAGCACUCUGCUAGAUCGGGCUAAAUGGAGGGGAAAGCCUUUCCAGCCGCUUUCAGAAAUCCUACAGGUACAUAUUUAACUUCAUUGUAGGGUAAUAAGAGUGGCUUUUACUUAGCCUUCUGUAACCCUCUUUAAAAGA
This is a long non-coding RNA of Carya illinoinensis, 1374 nucleotides long. RefSeq lists it as uncharacterized. The transcript is spliced from 3 exons. The record is from RefSeq and is a predicted model, not a curated record. NCBI's taxonomy places the organism in Eukaryota, Viridiplantae, Streptophyta, Magnoliopsida, Fagales, Juglandaceae.